CAAGCGUUGUCCGGAAUUAUUGGGCGUAAAGAGCUCGUAGGCGGUCUGUCGCGUCUGGUGUGAAAACCCGAGGCUCAACCUCGGGCUGGCAUCGGGUACGGGCGGACUAGAGUGCUGUAGGGGAGACUGGAAUUCCUGGUGUAGCGGUGGAAUGCGCAGAUAUCAGGAGGAACACCGAUGGCGAAGGCAGGUCUCUGGGCAGUUACUGACGCUGAGGAGCGAAAGCAUGGGGAGCGAACAGGAUUAGAUACCCUGGUAGUCCAUGCCGUAAACGUUGGGCACUAGGUGUGGGGACCAUUCCACGGUCUCCGUGCCGCAGCUAACGCAUUAAGUGCCCCGCCUGGGGAGUACGGCCGCAAGGCUAAAACUCAAAGGAAUUGACGGGGGCCCGCACAAGCGGCGGAGCAUGCGGAUUAAUUCGAUGCAACGCGAAGAACCUUACCAAGGCUUGACAUGCACCGGAAACACCCAGAGAUGGGUGCCCCGCAAGGUCGGUGCACAGGU
Molecule: ribosomal RNA, 504 nt
Filed under: Xylanimonas cellulosilytica
Lineage: Bacteria; Bacillati; Actinomycetota; Actinomycetes; Micrococcales; Promicromonosporaceae
Description: bacterial SSU rRNA
Rfam family: Bacterial small subunit ribosomal RNA
Source: RNAcentral